Molecule: long non-coding RNA, 1056 nt
Filed under: Coffea arabica (coffee)
Lineage: Eukaryota; Viridiplantae; Streptophyta; Magnoliopsida; Gentianales; Rubiaceae
Description: long non-coding RNA (CARA_LNC004894)
Source: RNAcentral
AGCCAAUUCUCGAAAUUGUUGGUUUUGUUCAUCGUUUAGCUGACCUUCUUCUUAGUCCUUUUUGGACUUUUGAGGAUCCUGAAUGUCUCCCAGUGGCCAGUGACCGCAUCUUGCACACUUCUCCUUACUUUCUGCGAGGGUAAUUCACUAUUCUCACUCUUUUCUUUCCUUUUUUUUUUUUGGGUUGUGGAGAAAAUAAUAUAAUAGGGUUGUCUAUUCUAUUUGGCUUUUAAUUUGUCUAAUUUUACAGUAAUCACUGACUGUUAUUUCCAGGUGAAAGACUAUUCAACAGAAGAGGACUUAUAAGUCAAGAUGUUUGCGGAAAAAGUCUGCUCUGCAGUUGUGACUUGAGACUCCACUUUGGAAGUCCCACUCCAGUGCCUAACGAAGGUUCCGCACUCAAAAACUCAAUCAAAAGUAGUAGUGUUAGCGGAAGCAAAUCACAGAGACCACCGCCCAAAAAUUAUAAACUUUACCUGCAGCCUCCGUGCCAACUUACAACUUACGCAGACUAAUUGCAUUAUGGGCAGUGGGAACCUCUGGACUGGAAGAAACCCUGCCUGAAAAGUCCAACCCCAUGACUUGACCCAAUCCCCCGCACCCCAAAGGUUGCCUAACCAUACAUUGUACAAUGCGAACCACCCCCAGCUUUAGCUCUGUGAUUACCAGAAAGGAAUUACAUCCCUUUUUGAACUGCAGAUCAAGGUUUGAAUCCUACUUAUGGUUAAAAAAAUUUCGGUAUCAUUUAAAACUUUGGUCUAGCCCGAUCUAUAUAGUCCCUGAUACAGCAAUUUUUUUAGACUUUCCUUACUACCUGUAGAUAGUUUCUUUAAAAAAAGCUUUUCCUUCCCUGUAGAUAAUUUCUUUAAACUUCCUCUUCUUGUAAAACAAAAUAGAUUGCGUUAUUGGAAUCCUUCUUUAAAUUUUCCCUUUUUUAGAAUAAAACAGAUUAAAUUAUAGGAAUGUUAUUGUAGCCAAAAAAAAAAAAAAAGAGACAAAAUAUACAUUGUAUAAUGCAGAUUACUCGCUCCACAAGCAAUUCACCGUUACAAGGUA